RNAcentral lists this long non-coding RNA (336 nucleotides) under Phoenix dactylifera (date palm). RNAcentral's name for it is "long non-coding RNA (PDAC_LNC004656)". The record is from RNAcentral. Lineage: Eukaryota; Viridiplantae; Streptophyta; Magnoliopsida; Arecales; Arecaceae.
GGUUGGUUGGUGAGCCGAGUGUAAAACCAACGUGUAAGGGUUCGAUUGUGAUCCCGGAAAAACAAUCGGGGUUGGUUCUAGUCGGUGAGCCUGGGAAAACCGACCGAGUUUGUUGUGAGCUCGUAAAACAACAAGUUUGGUUGUGAGCUUGGAAAACAACCGGCUGUAAUCCAAGGAGUUAUAGUGAAUUCCCAAGUGAUACUUGGGGAGUGGACGUAGGAGCAAGGGUUAGCUCCGAACCACUAUAAAACUUGGUGUUUGUGAUUGAUUGUCUCUUUUUCUCUUACUCUCAUAUCACUCACAGCACAUAGUAAUUAAUCGAACAACUUGCAAUAG